RNAcentral lists this long non-coding RNA (6099 nucleotides) under Manihot esculenta (cassava). RNAcentral describes it as "long non-coding RNA (MESC_LNC003578)". Lineage: Eukaryota; Viridiplantae; Streptophyta; Magnoliopsida; Malpighiales; Euphorbiaceae. The record is from RNAcentral.
UUUAUUGUGAUUAUAUAUCAUCUUUUUUUUUUUUUUCUAAAUUGAUUUGAAUUUGAUUAGCUAUUUCUCUUGUGUUUUCUUCUCCGUUGAAACUCACAGAAGAAUCAGGAAUCUCUAUCUCGUCGUGCAUUCCACGUCGAACCUCAGCCUCGCGAGAAAGCUGUGAGUUUCUCCUCUCUCUAUCUCAGCUACUGCUACCUAUCUUGAUAGUUUCUUAGGGUUUUAAAACUUUUUCUUUUCCCUUUUGAGUGGAAAGAUAUUUUUAUCCUUUCGUUAUUUUCUGAGAUAUGAGAAGCUUCAACAAGGUCAGCGUGACAGGGUCUAUCCGCUGUUAUGGUCUUAUAGAUAUCGAGAUUUUGACUUUUAAGUGAAUCGCUUGCGACACUUCAAUCAUGUUUUCGUUCUUAGAUGAGGAAUGAUUGCCGUUUAUAUGCUCGUGUAUGUGUGUUAGAGACUAGUUUAAUAUACAAUCUUAUACAGUUAAUGAAGUUGUUGAAUUUCGAUUGCAUCGGAUUGAUUGUUGGUCCAGCAUCUAACUCCCCAACUUGGUCCAGUGGCAUACUUUGGUAUCAUUUGGUUGACAUUCAUGUUCAAGGACCUUUGUUUUAGUUAAGUGACCAAAUAGUAGCGAUCAAAAGCAUGGCUGUGAUGGUGGAGAAGGUAUCCUGGAGCUUUUUUAGUUCAUCUAUGACAUUCCACGCUUUGAUGAAAUGCUAUAGCAUUGCUCUGUUUUCAUUUUGAGACAUGUUUCUGUUUCUCCCUCUAUUCUCCAAAAAGUCAUCUACUUGGGAUUUUUUCCUGCAUGAAGUCAAAGCUAACUACGCAAUGCCUGUCUGAAGACUUCAAGCAAUGUGCCUCUCUGUUUAACUAAUAUCGUAAACUUUUGUCUUGAAACUUUUCACAUUUUAUGUUGUGCAAAUUAGUGGAUAACUGAACUUGAAAUUUAACUUAAGUGCUUUUUUUUUCAGAAAAAGAUUUUUUGAGCCUUGCUGUUCUAAGUUAUUUGCAUUACAGCUCUUGGCAGAAGACCCAGCUCUUAAGCGAUUCAAAUCACAUAAGAAGAGUGUAUGGAGACUCAAAAGAGUUGGAGAUGUUCUCACAAUUGUGGUUGUAGCAGGUAUGCUGGUGUCUCUGCUACUAGUUGAAGAAAUUUUUCAUUAGUAUUCUCCCAUAUCAGGAUCUCUUUUGCCCAUUAUGUUAUGCAAUUUAUAAUAUUGUGGGAGUAGCUGAACCUCAGAAAUUUAUUUGGGUUCUCAUGCACGGCAAGAAAAUAAUCCCCUUAGGAAAUUCAAUGGUUUGGAUUUGUAGAUUCUUGUGCAAUUUUGAUGCCUAAUGAAAUGCUUGUCCUUUUACUUGUCCACUUUUAUGCCUUCAUGUUAUCAUUUAGGCUCUCCUUUGCGCUUUAAUGUGUCUUUGGCCUUAAGUAACAAGUGAAAAAGACUGAGGGAUGAGUAACAAGCAAAAAGAUUGACCUGCCUGUUGAAGUAGGAAUCACAAUAAGAGUUUUGCAUUUUCUCUUGUUUAGGUUUUUGCAAGUACUCAGACUCAUUGCAUACACAACCGUCAUAUCCUUCCUAUGAUUGUAACCAUUAUUCACUUUGGAAUCUGAUUUUUUAUGUCAGUAUUGGUUAUAAUAUAAACACCUUUUGUGCUUGUGAACUGAUUUGAUCAACUACGUGAAUUGCCACAAGCAAUAUCUCUAGUUUUUCUUUUUCUCAAAUAUUCUGCAAGUUCUCCAUAUCAUUGAUGGCCAAUGUGCUAAAUUAAAGGCUCGUGUGACUCAGUAACAAUAUCGCUAUUACUUUGACCUGCCUUUGAGGUUUAUAAAAACCUGAAGCAUGAUAUUACUUAACAGAGCAUGUGUUAAUGUCAUUACUUAAAUAGUACUAGAGAACACAUCAUAUAGACUUUCACCAUGAAUUGCGGUUAUCUAUUAUGUGUUUUCAUUGUUUUGCCAGUAUUCUUAUAUCGUGUCUGUUUCAGGCUGUUGCUAUGAAAUCUAUGUCAGAGCAGUAAUGCGGGAGGAGGCUCGAAAAAAAGCAGGGGAAAGUGCAUAAGUAUUCAAUUCUUCGAUGUUUCAUUUUAUUGCUGAGAACAACGUUAGGCCUUCGUUUUUUUAAUCUGUGUGUUGAAUAAGCAGAACAACCAGUUUUGUUGUAAUCAAAUGGUUGUUCUCGAAAGUUGCUAUUACCAUGUUUUCUAAUUUAUGCUUGAUAAAUGUUAUGACAUAAUGUAUGCACAUAUAAAGAACAAUAUUCUAUUGGCAGGGCCACAUGUAUCGGAUGUACUUGAGAAUUUUUCUUGGCAUAUUUGCACUCAUAACGUUAUUAAAGAAAAUUUUCAUGGCAUCUUAAAAUUAAAAAAAAAAAUGCGUAAGUUUAUACAAAAAGUGCCAAUCAAUAAAUAGUUUGAAUCUUUUAAAUUAAUUUAAAUUUAAGGUGGAGAUUUUUUAGUGAAAAAAUAUAAGCGAGUAGUAAUUACAAAUUUUAUACAUUUAUAUAUUUAUCAUUAACGUUCAAUUAUUAACUAUAAAAUAGUGAUUUUAGAAGAAAUUUGAGGUUUAUGAAUAUAAGUUGGUGUGUUUAUAGUUUGUGCUAUUUUUAUUAAUAUUAUAAGAUUAUCUUGAUUGUGUUUUUUGGGAUGUUUUUAAAUUUAAAGUGACAUAAUUGUUUUUAAAAAAUUAAGACAAACCUAUAAAAUUCUGCUCCAAAUUAUCUUGAAUUAAAAUUGAUUAAACUAGUCGAACACCCAAUUAAUUUUGAUUCAUUUCCUUUCUCAAUCAUGAACCAUUGAUUUGAUGAUGAUCAAACCAAACUCUGACUAGGUAUGCACUAGAAAAUUUUUGAGCCAACAUUUUCCAUGGCCAUGUUUGUACAUUUAUUUCACAAAGCAUGCUCUAAGGCCUAUAAAUAGAUACCCAAAUCACAGAGUGAAUCCAAAAUAACUAAAAGCAAAGGUGAUGGCCAAUCCAAGAUGUCAUGUCAUUGUUAUCCCUUACCCUGCUCAAGGUCACAUUAACCCCCUCCUUCAGUUCGCUAAACGCUUGGCUUCCAAAGGAGUCAAGGCCACUCUCGCCACCACCCCUUACACAAUAAACUCGAUCCAUGCCCCCACAGUAGGUGUUGAGCCCAUCUCUGAUGGCUUUGAUGAAGGCGGCUUCAAGCAAUCCUCAGGUGUAGAGGCAUACCUAGAAUCAUUCAAAGCUGUUGGUUCAAGAACUCUUACUGAGCUUAUCUUGAAAUUCAACGCCUCGGACUCCCCUGUUAGGUGUAUUGUGUACGAUUCAUUGCUGACUUGGCCUGUUGAUGUAGCUAGACAACUUGGGAUUCAUGCUGCUGUAUUUUUUACCAAUUCAGCUUCUGUUUGCUCCAUGUAUUGGCAAAUUGAUCGGGGUCUCACUCUUCCUGUGGAACAAGAAACUGUGCCAGUGUCUUUGCCGGGCCUUCCUUCACUAGGCUUCCAUGAAUUUCCGAGUUUUCUGGCAUCCCCAACAACUCACUCUGCUUAUUUAGCAGCAAUCUUGGAGAAAUUUCACAGUUUGGACAAAAAUGAUUGGGUAGGUCUGCAGCUCCUUCGAAGAGCUAGAGAUUCAGGUAACUGAACUUUGGGAUAUUUUUUGACUGUAUGCAAUUCUUGUUAUUUUAAUUUAUAUUUUUUGGGAUUGAUGAUAAUUUAAUAAUUAGAUUUCCAGAGGAUACAAUGUAAUUUAAUGGAUAAUUAGAUUGCUAAUGUGUUCACUGCUUUGACUGGUGAAAAAUGAAAAGCUAGUAGGAGCCACGAGAGGACUGUGGCCAGUGGUGAUGGUAGGUCCAAUGGUGCCAUCUGCCUACUUAGACCAACAAAUUGAUGGAGAUACAGCUUAUGGGGCCAGUCUCUGGGAACCAACAACUGACCAGUGCUUGAGAUAGCUAGACACGAAGCCACCAGACUCAGUAAUAUACGUGUCAUUUGGAAGCAUGGCAGGCAUUUCAGCUAACACAGGUUGAAGAAAUGGCAUGGGGUUUGGAAGCAAGCAAAAGGCCUUUCCUAUGGGUUAUCAAGGAUUCAGAAAAUAAGCUACAAGAUGAUUUUAUAAGCUCAAUAGGCGAGACAGGGAUAGUCGUGGCAUGGUGCAACUAACUAGAGGUCCUAGCUCACCAAGCGGUGGGCUACUUUGUUACACACUGUGGAUGGAAUUCUACAGUGGAGGGGCUGAGCCUAGGCGUGCCAAUGGUAUGCGCGACACAGUGGAGCGACCAGCCAACAAACGCCAAGUUUGUAGAGGAAGUGUGGAAGGUGGGAGUAAGAGCUGAGAAAGAUGAAGAGGGGAUAGUAGGGAGAAAGGAACUUGAGAAAUGUGUAAGGGAGGUUAUGGUUGGAGAGAGGAGUGAAGAAAUGAAGAAUAAUGCAUCUAAAUGGAGAGAUAUUGCAAAGGGUGCUGUCAGACUCGGUGGGAGCUCAGAUACCAAUGUUGAUCACUUUUGUAAUGAAGUUGCUAGAUGAGAAGAAAACAUAAAUUGUCACAGCUUGAAUUUUGAUGGAUCAAUAAAAUCAUGUAUCACCCCAUUGAGGUUUAUCUUGUGUUGUAAGCUUCUGCUCUUGGGCAGCUCCAGUAGCUGCACGACAAUUUAAAUUUGAUUUCAAGGAAGAAGAACUAAACCUCCAACUUUAAUUGAAAUCAUUAGCAAGAAGCAAGUUUUACAGUUCCAAACCUUCGCUUUUCUUGGAUCCAGAAUUCCUCUAAAGGCGGUGGACGACCUAAACAAAAGAUUUUCUUUGCCAUAAACAAUUGAACUGUUAUUUCAUAUAAAACAGUCAUUGCCCGAAUCGCUUUUCUUGAAAAAUUUAUUAAAAUAUAUUUUUUUCUAUAUUAAUAAAAUAAUUUUUUUUAAUUUUAUUUAUUUUUAUUAUUAUAAUAAAAAAUCAAAUUAUCAUUUCUUUUUUUUAUUUUUAAAAAUUCUUUUUUUUAUUUUUAAAAAUUAUAAUAAAAAAAUCAAAUUAUCACUUUUUUGUUUUUUUUAUUUUUUUUAUUUUGUUGUUAAAAAAAUAAAAAAAUUUAAUAUAUUUUUUAAAAUAUAAAGAGUGAUUUAUAAAUAAUAAUAAUAUUUACAAAUUAAAUAAAAGAGUUUAUUAAAAAUAAAAUUGAAUUUAAAAUUUUUUUUUCUAUUUUUUAUUUUUUUAAUAAAAAAUAAAAAUAUUAUUUCAUUGAAAAAAAAAUCUUAAUAAAAUUUUAAAAAUAUAAAAAUUAAUUUAUUAAUAAUAGUAUUAAAUCUCCCACAAAAAGGAACACAUGAGGCUUAGUGGAAAAACGACGAUUAAUACGAAAAUUGGGUACAAAUAGAGAUUAAUGUGAAAUUUCACGGAGGGUACCGUUGCAAAUUCCAUAAUCUCAAAUUUUUUAAGAGAGAUCCCUGGUGGGUCAGUUUCAGUGCCCAUUCGAGCAGCACCCACUCAGAUCUCGCCUUCCAUUAUUUCUUACUCAAAGAAAGGGAAAAAUAAAUGGCCUUCCUGCUCAAUAAUUCCGCAAUUUCUUCUCAUUUUCGAUCUCAUACACAAGUAAUUUGUUUAUUGUGAUUAUAUAUCAUCGUAUUUUUAAAAUUGAUUUGAAUUUGAUUAGCUAUUUCUCUUGCGUUUCCUUCUCUGUGAAACUCGCAGAAGAAUCAGGAAUCUCUAUCUCGUCGUGCAUUCCACGUCGAACCUCAGCCUCGCGAGAAAGCUGUGAGUUUCUCCUCUCUCUAUCUCAGCUACUGCACCCUAUCUUGCUAGUUUCUUAGGGUUUUAAAACUUUUUCUUUUCCCUUUUGAGUGGAAAGAUAUUUUUAUCCUUUAUUUUCUGAGAUAUGAGAAUCUUCAACAAGGUCAGCGUGACAGGGUCUAUCCGCUGUUAUGGUCUUAUAGAUAUCGAGAUUUUGCCUUUUAAGUGAAUAGCUUGCGACACUUCAAUCAUGUUUUCGUUCUUAGAUGAGGAAUGAUUGCCGUUUAUAUGCUCGUGUAUGUGUGUUAGAGACUAGUUUAAUAUACAAUCUUAUACAGUUAAUGAAGUUGUUGAAUUUCGAUUGCAUCGGAUGCAUUGUUGGUCCAGCAUCUAACUCCCCAACUUGGUCCAGUGGCAUACUUCGGU